The sequence is a transfer RNA, 73 nucleotides long. It matches the Rfam family "tRNA". From Rfam's summary of the family: Transfer RNA (tRNA) molecules are approximately 80 nucleotides in length. Their secondary structure includes four short double-helical elements and three loops (D, anti-codon, and T loops). Further hydrogen bonds mediate the characteristic L-shaped molecular structure. tRNAs have two regions of fundamental functional importance: the anti-codon, which is responsible for specific mRNA codon recognition, and the 3' end, to which the tRNAs corresponding amino acid is attached (by aminoacyl-tRNA synthetases). tRNAs cope with the degeneracy of the genetic code in two manners: having more than one tRNA (with a specific anti-codon) for a particular amino acid; and 'wobble' base-pairing, i.e. permitting non-standard base-pairing at the 3rd anti-codon position.
GCCUUCUUAGCUCAGUUGGUAGAGCAUCUCAUUCGUAAUGAGAGGGUCGCGGGUUCAAGUCCCGUGGGGGGCU